This 531-nucleotide ribosomal RNA is filed under the name uncultured bacterium. RNAcentral describes it as "bacterial SSU rRNA". It matches the Rfam family "Bacterial small subunit ribosomal RNA", at positions 776 to 1304 of the family's 1533-position model. The record is from RNAcentral.
AAAUAGAUACCCCCGGGUAGUCCACGCCGUAAACGAUGAGUGCUAAGUGUUAGGGGGUUUCCACCCCUUAGUGCUGCAGCUAACGCAUUAAGCACUCCGCCUGGGGAGUACGGUCGCAAGACUGAAACUCAAAGGAAUUGACGGGGGCCCGCACAAGCGGUGGAGCAUGUGGUUUAAUUCGAAGCAACGCGAAGAACCUUACCAGGUCUUGACAUCCCGCUGACCGCUAUGGAGACAUAGCCUUCCCUUCGGGGACAGCGGUGACAGGUGGUGCAUGGUUGUCGUCAGCUCGUGUCGUGAGAUGUUGGGUUAAGUCCCGCAACGAGCGCAACCCUUGUCCUUAGUUGCCAUCAUUCAGUUGGGCACUCUAAGGAGACUGCCGUACAAAUACGGAGGAAGGUGGGGAUGACGUCAAAUCAUCAUGCCCCUUAUGACCUGGGCUACACACGUGCUACAAUGGACGGUACAAACGGUCGCGAAGUCGCGAGACGGAGCCAAUCCGAAAAAACCGUUCUCAGUUCGGAUUGCAGG